Molecule: transfer RNA, 81 nt
Filed under: Colletotrichum orbiculare MAFF 240422
Lineage: Eukaryota; Fungi; Ascomycota; Sordariomycetes; Glomerellales; Glomerellaceae
Description: tRNA-Ser (TGA) (tRNA-Ser-TGA-1-1)
Rfam family: tRNA
About the family: Transfer RNA (tRNA) molecules are approximately 80 nucleotides in length. Their secondary structure includes four short double-helical elements and three loops (D, anti-codon, and T loops).
Source: RNAcentral
GGCAGCAUGGUAGAGUGGUUAAUACGUAAGACUUGAAAUCUUAUGCCUUCGGGCGCGCAGGUUCGAACCCUGCUGCUGUCG